UGCCAGCCGCCGCGGUAAUACGGAGGAUCCAAGCGUUAUCCGGAAUCAUUGGGUUUAAAGGGUCCGUAGGCGGGCAAUUAAGUCAGAGGUGAAAGUUUGCGGCUCAACCGUAAAAUUGCCUUUGAAACUGGUUGUCUUGAAUUAUUGUGAAGUGGUUAGAAUAUGUAGUGUAGCAGUGAAAUGCAUAGAUAUUACAUAGAAUACCAAUUGCGAAGGCAGAUCACUAACAAUAUAUUGACGCUGAUGGACGAAAGCGUGGGGAGCGAACAGGAUUAGAUA
This 279-nucleotide ribosomal RNA is filed under the name uncultured bacterium. RNAcentral's name for it is "partial 16S ribosomal RNA". It matches the Rfam family "Bacterial small subunit ribosomal RNA", at positions 506 to 784 of the family's 1533-position model. The record is from RNAcentral.